GCAGGGCGUAGUGGCGGGCGCCUGUAGUCCCAGAUACUCGGGAGGCUGAGGCAGGAGAAUCGCUUGAACCCAAGAGGCCGAGGGUGCAGUGAGCUGAGAUCGUGCCACUGCACUCCAGCCUGGGUGACAGAGCGAGACUCCGUCUCAA
This 148-nucleotide non-coding RNA is filed under the name Homo sapiens (human). The record is from Rfam by way of RNAcentral. Lineage: Eukaryota; Metazoa; Chordata; Mammalia; Primates; Hominidae.